This 145-nucleotide ribosomal RNA is filed under the name uncultured bacterium. RNAcentral's name for it is "partial 16S ribosomal RNA". The record is from RNAcentral.
UGGGGAAUAUUGCACAAUGGGCCAAAGCCUGAUGCAGCCCAAUGGAGGAAAUUAAGAAGGCGUAAGGGUUGUAAAGGGAAGAAGGUUUUAGGAUGUAAACUGUUUAAUAAGGGAAGUAUAAUGACGUACCGAGAGAGUCGUUGCC